GUGCUUGUGGUGUAGUGGUUAUCACAUCCGCCUAACACGCGGAAAGGGUCCCAGGUUCGAUCCCUGGCAGGGCACA
Non-coding RNA from Rhipicephalus sanguineus (brown dog tick), 76 nucleotides. Lineage: Eukaryota; Metazoa; Arthropoda; Arachnida; Ixodida; Ixodidae. The record is from the annotation of a RefSeq genome assembly.